Long non-coding RNA from Panthera uncia (snow leopard), 1362 nucleotides. RefSeq lists it as uncharacterized. NCBI's taxonomy places the organism in Eukaryota, Metazoa, Chordata, Mammalia, Carnivora, Felidae. The record is from RefSeq and is a predicted model, not a curated record. The transcript is spliced from 3 exons.
UUUACCUUAGUUGGUGUUUUCAGUUGAUGAAUGACACUUGUUUCUGGCCUCCGUUUCCGCCCAAGUUGUAAUUAGAUUUUGCACGAGGCUCCUGUGAUUACGGAUCUGGGCCUUCCUCCCCUAUCGGACCUUUCAAAAGUCACUCGGCUUUCCGAACUUUCCCCAGUUUUCCUUCCUGUCGUCCUCACCAGCAAACCCCGGUGCCGAUGGGCCAGCAGGAGGCCCCCAUCACCGGCGGCCGUCACCUCCGGGGGUGUAGGGUUUGUGCUGGACAAAGCCACAUCCUGCUCCUGAUGGAACCCAUUAGGCUGGAGGGACGAAUGGCUUCCCAGAGAGAUGCGCUGAUCUGCCCGAGGGGAGCCGUGCUCUGCCCCAGAGCUCUGCGGAGGAGGAAGCAGCCUGGGUGCCUUGGAACUGAAAGAAUGCCCACGCAGCCGAGACAGCACCGCCAGUGAAUUCACGGUCCGGGAAAUAGAUGAACUGCACCGACCCAGAAAACUCGUAAGGAAGAGAUUCGGAAGUGGAAGAGGGAGAAACAUUGGUCCUUAAGAAACUAAGAGAAAUUUGAGGCCCCGGCGGCAUCGUCUAGAAACAUCUUUAUGGUCUCAGCGUGGACUUACUAAAAACCGUGCUGGGUUGGUGAGGACACAGCUGACGGGGGGUGUGGCCCUUGCCUGCCCCGGCAGAGCUCGAAACCCUGUUGGGGACAAUAGUGACAACCUAGGGCCAUGGAGAAGAGAAGGGAUGUGGAUUGUACUCCCUCCUCUGUCGCUAAUGAGUGCUGGGACCUUGGGCAAGUAAUCGCUCAGGGUCGGGGUCCUCACUACAAAUUAAGGGAGUUGAAACAAUCUCCUAAAGUUCCUUAGAGCCUUAAUCUUCAGAAUCUAAUUACCACCCCCAGUAGAUCUGUUGUAUCACCAAGCAAUAAAGGGAACGAUGUAGACAAAGGAUGCCGUUCAGAAAGCACCGUGUCACUGUGGACGGCUCGAGGGGGGACCACGGAGGAGCGGGGGCUCGCGCUGGAUGGUGGGGUGGGCAGGACACCCAGCAGGGAGGGAGCACAAGGGGUGUUUGGAGGAUGGGGAAGAGGCCAGGUGGGGGGAGGUGGGUAUUGAGAGAGAGCUUGGAAGGUUGGACCCAGAUGGGGAGGGUGUUGAACUCUGGCCUGAGUUCUAGAACUUGAGUUUGUGUGCUGACAGCUCAGAGCCUGGAGCCUGCUUCAGAGUCUGUCUCUCUCUCUCUGCCCCUCCCCCACUCAUGCUCCGUCUCUCUCCAUUUCUCAAAAAUGAAUAAAAACGUUAGAAAAACAAAUUAAGAAAAUGUUGUUGUUGUUGUUGUUGUUGUUGUGGUAGAACAUACAUA